Long non-coding RNA from Gorilla gorilla gorilla (western lowland gorilla), 858 nucleotides. RefSeq lists it as uncharacterized. The record is from RefSeq and is a predicted model, not a curated record. Lineage: Eukaryota; Metazoa; Chordata; Mammalia; Primates; Hominidae. The transcript is spliced from 3 exons.
CACUGGUAGCGAGGAUCCUCUCUGGUGCUGAGGAUGUGCCCACGGGCGAGAGAGAAAGGGAGAGACACACACGAUGUCCGCAAGAUGAGUGAGGGAUACUCUGGGAGUUCAGCUGGAGCGGAGGGAAGGCACCAGGAUCUCAGCAGGGCCUGGCCUCCGGAAAGGACCCUGGUGAGAAGGCGGGCCCUGGGGAGACGUGGAGCGCCCAGCCCAGGGCGCGCGAGGCCCUGGCAUCCACUAUUCUACUUUCUGUCUCUAUGAGUUUGACCACUCUAGAGUCAUCACUUACCAAUGAGGGAGAUACUCUCACCAUCGUCUGUUUCAUAGAUGAGGACACUGCCAAGGAUUUGCGUGCAUCACACAGCUCACGGCUGUCAGAGCCGGAAGUGGAGUGCGUUUCCACCUUGAGAAGCACACCACCACCUUUUUGUUUUCUUCUGUCUUUAAACAUAACUCCUUUCCAUGUGUAAAAAUUAAAUCAGGUUGGGUGCGGUGGCUCACACCUGUAAUCCCAGCUCUUUGGGAGGCUGAGGCGGGUAGAUCAUAAGGUCAAGAGAUCGAGACCAUCCUGGCUAACAUGGUGAAACCCUGUCUCCACUAAAAAUACAAAAAUUAGCUGAGCAUGGUGGUGGGCGCCUGUAGUCCCAGCUACUCAGGAGGCGGAGACUGCAGUGAGCUGAGAUUGCACCAUUGUACUCCAGCAUGGGCAACAAAAGCGAAACUCCUUCUCAAAAAAAAAAAAAAAAAAAAUUAAAUCAGGGAACCAAACUACCUGAAUUAUUUCAUUUUCUUUACUAAGAAAUUUAGAAAACUCUCCAUCUGAAAUACUUACUUCCUUUUAAAAUUUAUUUUAUUUUC